CGAGGCUGUGACCCAUAACAGUGCCCACAUAACGGAGGAGCCACCAGACCCCUUGGCCAUGCCUGCCGUAGUGCAACGUGUAAUCUGGAUGGUCGGGUCAGGUACACCUAGGAAAUGUUGUAUACAUUGGCAACGAUAACUGGGGCCUGCUCCAGUGCCAUCGCCGGGAUUCCCUGUUCUGCAAAGAACUGGCAUAACUGAUGUGGGGAGCCCUGGCGCUCGGCGUAGGAGCGUCACAGGGGCUCCUUGUCGGUGCUUGAAGGACGGCAGUGCUGUUGAGAAGCCGACAUUGAGCCCCGAUAAAUUGGAAGCUGUGGGUAGUUACCGCAUUAUUGGCUUGGAAACUAGUGAGGUCUGGAUGCAAGUGAAGCUACCGAGGGAGGCAUGUGUGCA
Dermacentor silvarum is the source of this 393-nucleotide long non-coding RNA. RefSeq lists it as uncharacterized. The transcript has 3 exons. NCBI's taxonomy places the organism in Eukaryota, Metazoa, Arthropoda, Arachnida, Ixodida, Ixodidae. The record is from RefSeq and is a predicted model, not a curated record.